UACGUAGGGCACAAGCGUUGUCCGGAAUUAUUGGGCGUAAAGAGCUCGUAGGCGGCCUGUUGCGUCCGCUGUGAAAUCCCGGGGCUCAACCCCGGGCCUGCAGUGGAUACGGGCUGGCUGGAGGCAGGCAGGGGAGAACGGAAUUCCUGGUGUAGCGGUGAAAUGCGCAGAUAUCAGGAGGAACACCGGUGGCGAAGGCGGUUCUCUGGGCCUGUUCUGACGCUGAGGAGCGAAAGCGUGGGGAGCGAACAGG
This 253-nucleotide ribosomal RNA is filed under the name uncultured bacterium. Its description in RNAcentral is "partial 16S ribosomal RNA". It matches the Rfam family "Bacterial small subunit ribosomal RNA", at positions 524 to 776 of the family's 1533-position model. The record is from RNAcentral.